AACGCAUAUUGCGCCCUCUGGUAUUCCGGGGGGCACACCUGUCCGAGCGCCAUUUUGACCCUCAAGCAUUGCUUGGUGUUGGGCCAGGUCCUAGGGGACCUGCCCGUAACUUGUAGGCGGUCAUCGCCCGCGCCCCCAGCGUAGCAAGCUAACGCACUCGCUUGGGGACGGCGUGUGGCUCGCCCGGCAAAAACCAAACCCUAAAGGUUUGGCCUCGGAUCAGGUGGGGAUACCCGCUGAACUUAA
Molecule: unclassified non-coding RNA, 246 nt
Filed under: uncultured fungus
Lineage: Eukaryota; Fungi
Description: sequence contains ITS2
Source: RNAcentral